RNAcentral lists this transfer RNA (99 nucleotides) under Pseudomonas koreensis. RNAcentral describes it as "tRNA-Cys". Lineage: Bacteria; Pseudomonadati; Pseudomonadota; Gammaproteobacteria; Pseudomonadales; Pseudomonadaceae. The record is from RNAcentral.
GUUUGCCGUGGAAUGCCGAACAGAUUGUCGCGGCGUUGCAGGCGACGCGCGUGGUCGGGCGCCUCGAUCGUCGUUCGUUCGAAUGGAGCGGCAAGCGCC